Molecule: ribosomal RNA, 253 nt
Filed under: uncultured bacterium
Lineage: Bacteria
Description: partial 16S ribosomal RNA
Rfam family: Bacterial small subunit ribosomal RNA
Source: RNAcentral
UACGGAGGGUGCGAGCGUUGUCCGGAAUCACUGGGCGUAAAGGGCGCGUAGGCGGCUCGUGAAGUCAGUGGUGAAAGCCCAGGGCUCAACUCUGGGUCGGCCACUGAUACUCGCGAGCUCGAGUUUGGUAGAGGCAGAUGGAAUUCCGGGUGUAGCGGUGGAAUGCGUAGAUAUCAAGUGGAACACCAGUGGCGAAGGCGAGUCCCUGGACAUUUCCUGACACUGAGGCACGAAAGCUAGGGGAGCAAACAGG